RNAcentral lists this ribosomal RNA (497 nucleotides) under uncultured bacterium. RNAcentral describes it as "partial 16S ribosomal RNA". It matches the Rfam family "Bacterial small subunit ribosomal RNA", at positions 28 to 507 of the family's 1533-position model. The record is from RNAcentral.
GAUGAACGCUGGCGGCGUGCCUAAUACAUGCAAGUCGAGCGAACAGAUGAGGAGCUUUCUCCUCUGACGUUACCGGCGGACGGGUGAGUAACACGUGGAUAACCUCCCUUUAAGCCUGGGAUAACUUCGGGAAACCGGAGCUCAUAUCGGAUAUUAUAUUGAACCGCAUGGUUCAAUAGUCAACGCCGGUUUUGCUGUCACUUAUUGAUGGAUCCUCGCCGCAUUAGCUAGUUGGUACGGUAACGGCUUACCAAGGCAACGAUGCGUAGCCGACCUGAGAGGGUGAUCGGCCACACUGGAACUGAGACACGGUCCAGACUCCUACGGGAGGCAGCAGUAGGGAAUAUUCGGCAAUGGGCGAAAGCCUGACGGAGCAACGCCGCGUGAGUGAUGAAGGUCUUCGGAUCGUAAAACUCUGUUAUUAGGGAAGAACAAAAGUGUAAGUAAAUAUGCACGUCUUGACGGUACCAAAAGAGAAAGCAACGGCUAACUACGUG